GUAUAUAUGGCUUAGUGGUUAAAAGCACUGGAUGUGAUUCCAAAGAACUGGGGUUCGAUUCCUAAUAUAAACA
This 73-nucleotide transfer RNA is filed under the name Mesocricetus auratus (golden hamster). It matches the Rfam family "tRNA". From Rfam's summary of the family: Transfer RNA (tRNA) molecules are approximately 80 nucleotides in length. The record is from Rfam by way of RNAcentral. Lineage: Eukaryota; Metazoa; Chordata; Mammalia; Rodentia; Cricetidae.